GAACUAGCUAACUGAAAUCAUAUGACUCAUUAAUCAGUGGUGAUUAUGAUAACAUAAGGGAAAAAAAUGAUGUUACCUUAUUAUUAGUGUUGUCCAAAACUGGUGCCAGAAGACUCGGUAAGACCAGAGACGCAAACGUUAGUCAUCUUAAUCAGGCGUAAAGGGUUUGUAGGCUGCUUUAAAAAUUUACAACUUUAUAAUAGCUCUGUUAUCCUAAGUGAUAAACAUAAUUUGUCCCUAUAACAGUUAAGAAGUAAAUGAAUUAAAGCUAGGAUCAAAUUGAGGAUAACCCAAAUAAUACUUAGAGUAGGGCUUAUAUCCGUAGAUACUAAGGGGAAUACUAAAGGUGAAAGCUUUUUAUCUAUUAUUGAUUGACGCUGAGAAACGAAGGUGAGAAUAGGAAAUAGGAUUAGAUACCCAGAUACCUCUCACUGUCAACGAUGAAUGGUGGUUGUCAGUUUUAAUAAAAAUUGGUAACGAUGUUAACACGAUAACCAUUCCGCCUUGCGAGUACGGUUGCAAAACUGAAACCAAAAAAAUU
Molecule: ribosomal RNA, 541 nt
Filed under: Tricholoma sp. 21 XXD-2021
Lineage: Eukaryota; Fungi; Basidiomycota; Agaricomycetes; Agaricales; Tricholomataceae
Description: SSU rRNA
Rfam family: Bacterial small subunit ribosomal RNA
Source: RNAcentral